Molecule: ribosomal RNA, 292 nt
Filed under: uncultured soil bacterium
Lineage: Bacteria
Description: partial 16S ribosomal RNA
Rfam family: Bacterial small subunit ribosomal RNA
Source: RNAcentral
AGAAUCAACGCUGGCGGCGUGCCUAACACAUGCAAGUCGAGCGCGAAAGGGGAGCAAUCCCCAAGUAGAGCGGCGAACGGGUGAGUAACGCGUGGGUAAUCUACCUCCGAGUGGGGAACAACAGCGGGAAACUGCUGCUAAUACCGCAUGACAUCGUCGACGUCCGUUUCGGGUUUGACGACUACGAAACGGGCCCGGGGACCGACGAACGGCCGUGGCGUCGUUGGAGACGACGCCCGCGUCCGUAUUAGCGUUAGUUGGGCGGGUAAGUCGGCCCACCGAAGGCCUCCGA